Molecule: transfer RNA, 76 nt
Filed under: Vibrio parahaemolyticus
Lineage: Bacteria; Pseudomonadati; Pseudomonadota; Gammaproteobacteria; Vibrionales; Vibrionaceae
Also listed under: 5 other names
Description: tRNA-Ala
Rfam family: tRNA
About the family: Transfer RNA (tRNA) molecules are approximately 80 nucleotides in length. Their secondary structure includes four short double-helical elements and three loops (D, anti-codon, and T loops).
Source: RNAcentral
GGGGCUAUAGCUCAGCUGGGAGAGCGCCUGCCUUGCACGCAGGAGGUCUGCGGUUCGACCCCGCAUAGCUCCACCA